ACUUACACGUUGGUGCUGUGGCACUGGA
This 28-nucleotide non-coding RNA is filed under the name Cricetulus griseus (Chinese hamster). Lineage: Eukaryota; Metazoa; Chordata; Mammalia; Rodentia; Cricetidae. The record is from RNAcentral.